This is a long non-coding RNA of Rhinichthys klamathensis goyatoka, 431 nucleotides long. RefSeq lists it as uncharacterized. Lineage: Eukaryota; Metazoa; Chordata; Actinopteri; Cypriniformes; Leuciscidae. The record is from RefSeq and is a predicted model, not a curated record. The transcript has 3 exons.
CAUCUUUCAUUGACCGGCGUGAUCUAUGAGUCAACCCGACAUCUUGACAUUUUUUUGAAAUCUUAGAAAGAAGCAGAACAGAGAAACUGAAGCUGUCAUUACGUGUUGUAACUUCCAGCCGUGGCUUCAGGCUCUAUAUUAAGCUGACUGUUGAGUUGUUUGUGUCUUGACACAAUGCACGCCAAUGAUAAAGUCGCCUGGUUUUGUUUUUAACACCACUAUCAACAGCAGUGGAGGAGGAGAGGACACUAUUCCCCCGGUUUGGAAGAUAAGAUGAUGACCUCUGUCACCCUAAGACACACGGUGGGGAGGUUUGAGAAAAUCCAGGUUGGACUUGAAGUGUCUCUCGGCCUGGUCUAGCCAGCUUUUUGGAGACCUGCAGAUGAUGUCCUGGGUGAAUCUCGCCACCCCUUUGUCUGGGAUGGUCACAA